RNAcentral lists this ribosomal RNA (746 nucleotides) under uncultured Lachnospiraceae bacterium. RNAcentral describes it as "bacterial SSU rRNA". It matches the Rfam family "Bacterial small subunit ribosomal RNA", at positions 28 to 776 of the family's 1533-position model. The record is from RNAcentral. Lineage: Bacteria; Bacillati; Bacillota; Clostridia; Lachnospirales; Lachnospiraceae.
GAUGAACGCUGGCGGCGUGCCUAACACAUGCAAGUCGAACGAAGCACCUUUUAAGAUUCUUCGGAUGAUUGAUUGGUGACUGAGUGGCGGACGGGUGAGUAACGCGUGGGUAACCUGCCCUGUACAGGGGGAUAACAGUUGGAAACGGCUGCUAAUACCGCAUAAGCGCACGAGAGGACAUCCUUUCGUGUGAAAAACUCCGGUGGUACAGGAUGGGCCCGCGUCUGAUUAGCUGGUUGGCAGGGUAACGGCCUACCAAGGCAACGAUCAGUAGCCGGUCUGAGAGGAUGAACGGCCACAUUGGAACUGAGACACGGUCCAAACUCCUACGGGAGGCAGCAGUGGGGAAUAUUGCACAAUGGGGGAAACCCUGAUGCAGCAACGCCGCGUGAGUGAAGAAGUAUUUCGGUAUGUAAAGCUCUAUCAGCAGGGAAGAUAAUGACGGUACCUGACUAAGAAGCUCCGGCUAAAUACGUGCCAGCAGCCGCGGUAAUACGUAUGGAGCAAGCGUUAUCCGGAUUUACUGGGUGUAAAGGGUGCGUAGGUGGCAGUGCAAGUCAGAUGUGAAAGGCCGGGGCUCAACCCCGGAGCUGCAUUUGAAACUGCAUAGCUAGAGUACAGGAGAGGCAGGCGGAAUUCCUAGUGUAGCGGUGAAAUGCGUAGAUAUUAGGAGGAACACCAGUGGCGAAGGCGGCCUGCUGGACUGUUACUGACACUGAGGCACGAAAGCGUGGGGAGCAAACAGG